UUUUAACAUGCAUUGUAGCAUUUGGGGUAACUACUGUAUGGUGCCUAUUCGUGUGAGUUCCUUUGAUCAGGGCUUUAACCAUAGAAGGUGCUAGUCCUAUAAUCACGAAUAGUUAUGUGCUGUACAUUGUAUACCUUUCGAGUAGCGUAGUUUGAGAUUGCUACGCCAACGUGGGACGUAAACUUGUUCCAAAGCUAAAUAUUAUAACGAGACCGAUAGCGAACAAGUACCGUGAGGGAAAGUUGAAAAGCACUCUGAAGAGAGAGUUAAAUAGUACGUAAAACCGUACAGAAGAAAACGAAUGGCCGCAUUCAUCAGAUUACUUUGUAUUCAAUGCGAUCUCUAUAUGAUGGUGAUACAUGUUAAUUUGGAACUUCAACAGUCCGUUGAUAUGUUAUUGCUUGGAGUCGUGUGCAUUUUCAAAGUAUUAACUGAACCUGGAUCUAUAACAUUAAGCUAGUCGAAUCAGUCUGUUUUGGUAGCGAGUACUUGUACUCGUGUUAAAAAUAUGACUUGCAUAAAUAACAAAUUCGACUUGGCGUUAUAGGUAAAAUGACAUGUUCUUUGAUUUCAGUACUAUUACGGCAUGCCAUGAGCAUUGUUUGUGUCACAUGAGUAACUAAUAUUUAAAAGAUAUUAGCUUUAUUUAUGUCGGUGCUUAAUGUUUUGUGGCUGUCAAUGAAAUCGGCAAGUCUACAGGAGUUUUGAAUGCCGAGUUAUUCGACCCGUCUUGAAACACGGUCUAAGGAGUUCACUGCAUGUGCAAGAGUUCGGCUGUAUGAAAAGCCUUGCUCGUAAUGAAAGUAAAGAACAUUCUUGCAAUGUUUUAAGUGUGAUUUCUGUCAUCUGGUGCAAAUCAUGACAAUGAACGCAACACUGACAGGUUMUAUUGCCGCUGGCAAAGAGCUUAGUAAGAGUAUAUGCAAUGAGAC
This 932-nucleotide ribosomal RNA is filed under the name Rotaria rotatoria. RNAcentral's name for it is "eukaryotic LSU rRNA". It matches the Rfam family "Eukaryotic large subunit ribosomal RNA", at positions 131 to 815 of the family's 3401-position model. The record is from RNAcentral. Lineage: Eukaryota; Metazoa; Rotifera; Eurotatoria; Philodinida; Philodinidae.